Molecule: ribosomal RNA, 227 nt
Filed under: uncultured bacterium
Lineage: Bacteria
Description: partial 16S ribosomal RNA
Rfam family: Bacterial small subunit ribosomal RNA
Source: RNAcentral
UGAGUAACACGUAUCCAACCUGCCGUCUACUCUUGGACAGCCUUCUGAAAGGAAGAUUAAUACAAGAUGGCAUCAUGAGUUCACAUGUUCACAUGAUUAAAGGUAUUCCGGUAGACGAUGGGGAUGCGUUCCAUUAGAUAGUAGGCGGGGUAACGGCCCGCCUAGUCUUCGAUGGAUAGGGGUUCUGAGAGGAAGGUCCCCCACAUUGGAACUGAGACACGGUCCAA